Molecule: RNA transcript, 1761 nt
Organism: Ictalurus punctatus (channel catfish)
Lineage: Eukaryota; Metazoa; Chordata; Actinopteri; Siluriformes; Ictaluridae
Gene name: upstream stimulatory factor 2
Exons: 11
Source: RefSeq, a predicted model, not a curated record
GUGUGUGUGUACGUGUGUGUGUGUGUGUAUGUGUGUGUGUUUCUCCGGACUCUCACAUGACCAAAGUGUUUGUUCCCGUGAUCAACAUUUCCAUUAAACGCUUUGGGAAGUUGGAGGUAGAUGGAUGUGCUGCAGCAGACUUUGGACUCCUCGUUGAGGCAAAUGAAACAAGAAAAGGACACAUCAGAGAUAACUGAAGACGCUUUGAGAGGAGGUGAAGCAGCUGCAUUUCCUCACACUUCAGCUUUCACUGACCGGAGCGUCCAGUAUCAGUUUCUCCCCGACAGCAGCGGUACGCAGGUAACCUAUCAGGUUGUUCAGUUGACUAAUCAGCCGUUGGUGGGUGGGACAGUUGGCGUGGUGUCUUCUGCUUCAUUUACUGGAGCCCAACAGGCUGUGAUCCAGAGUCCCUUCAGUAAUGGAGGCAAUCCUGCAGUAGAGACGAUCGGAGGCGAGGCACGCUUCUCCUACAUCCCACCAGCUGCCGUGAGCGAUGCGACAACCGCCGGAGUUUCAGCCCAUCCGGCCGAGCCCACACGCUCUCACACAGCAGGUCAGUUCUACGUGAUGAGCACGCCGGAAGUUCUUCAGCCAGGCGCACCACGUACCAUAGCUCCCCGCACUCAUCCAUAUGCAGCGAAGAUGGAAGGACUGCGAACGCCGAGAGACGAACGCAGGAGGGCGCAACACAAUGAAGUGGAGCGACGGAGGAGAGACAAGAUCAACAACUGGAUCGUGACGCUGUCUAAAAUCAUCCCAGACUGCAGCAUGGACAGCACUAAAACCGGAGCGAGUAAAGGAGGCAUCCUGUCCAAGGCCUGCGAUUACAUCCAGGAGCUGCGGCAGAGCAACCACACACUCCACGAGAGUCUCCACGAAGUGAAGAGAGUCCAGAUGGACAACGACAUCCUUCGACAGCAGGGAGACUAGAGCCCAUCCCAAGGAACUCUGGGCACAAGGUUCGGGACAUUCUGGAUGAGGUGCCAACCCAUCACAGGGCAGAAUCUCACACACUACAGACAAUUUUGGAAAUGCCAAUCAGCCUACAAUGCAGGUCUUUGGACUUGGGGAGGAAACCAGAGUGCCCAGAGGAAACAUGCAGGCUCUGCAUACACAGGGCGGAGACGGGAUUUGAACCCCCAACCCCGGAGAUCCGAGGCCAUAAAAGUGGAGGAGCUGAAGAACGAGAACGCUUUGCUCCGAGCUGAGCUACAGCAGCGCCAAGCCGCCACAGACGUCACAGACGUGCCAUCGCAUUGAGCCUGAGGACAAAGAUUCUUUCUUUAAAAAAAUGAAGCACAAUUUUUUUUUAUUGUGGCAAUUUUGGGAUUUUCGCAUAUUAACAUGAACUGAAUGAUGAACAGGACGGCGUUCCAGAGCAGUGUUAUUCCAAAGCGAAAAGUGCUCCAUGCUAAAUAUAGAAGGCGUGAAAGACUGAGUGAGCUGUAGAACCCGGACACCUGCUUUAGUUUAUUCUUGUCUAUUUAUUAAGCUUUACUGUCACAACUUAGUGAAUUCCUAUGCCAUGUAGGCCUUUUUACUACGGUGUUGAAGUAUUUAUUAUCAUUAUUAUUAUUAUUAUUAUUUUUAAUAACUAUGUUCACUUUUCCAUUUUGCUAUUCAUGCUAUUCACAAUAUCAGCUUCUUGGCUAAUAUACUUGCAUUCAGUCAGUAACAGUAAUUCUGUAUUAUUUGAACCUCACGACUACCGAGCUACCGUUCGAUUCAAUUUACACCGCUUCAUUAAAGGAAAACUCCAGA